AAAAUAAAUACAUUUCUUGUUGAAAAUCAGCACAUUGAUUCUACUGGAAUAAGACAAUGUCCCAAAAUAAACAACAUUUAAGCUCAUGCUAAUGUUAGCAUUAGCAGUUUAUACAGUAACAGUUGAAUGUGUCUGAUUCUCAAAUUAUGCCUAAUUAUAGAUUUAGUUUACUUCAAAUGGAAAACAACAGUUUGAGUCAAUUUAAAGUUAAAUAAUGUGUUAGUUGAGAAUAACUAACCAGUUUUUAUACAACGGCUAAUCCAAUAUUAACUAGCUAGUCCGCUAGCACACAAGUACAUCUUCUGCCCUGCGUAUUAUUUAACCUUUAGUUUCAAGUUUCUGAUAAUCAAGAGAUAAUUUUAGCUAAAAAAUAGAUAAUUUUUUAGCAAAGACUGUGUAAAUUUUUACGUUCAUCCCCUGCUAAACGUAAAUGUAAAUGACAUACUGAAUACUCCAUUAAUUAAUAUUUCAAUCCAUCAGGGCCACAAUAGUUUUACAUAUGAACUUGUAUUGUCAAAUAUUAGUUAAAGGGAUUCAAAAUGGUAGGCGUUUUAAAAAUCCUAUAUUAGCAAAUAACGUUUGUUGUUUAUUGUUGCAGUUUUAUUUAGAGAAACUGUUUCUGCUGUAAUACGUUUCUGAAUGUAAUUUCAGCAUCAAUAAUCAUCUGAUUUCUGUGCUUAUUGUUUAUUAACUGCUCAUAUUUUUGUCUUGUUGAUGUUUCUCCUGUGACUUCUACAGUGCUUGGGAUAUUUACACAAUCAGAAGAGAAAAUGAGUGAGAAAUUUCUAUAUUUUUACUGAAAACCAAGCGAGUAUUGACAGAUUUAUACGAGAAAAUCUACCACUUGUGAUGGGUAGCAUAUCAGAAUUCAGUAUUACUGUUUAGAAAGUAUCAAUAAAGUGAGAAUGUACCGAGUUCAUGUGUGAACCGUGUGUGUUGAAGCUCUUGCUGUUCCUGUGGCAGGACAAACAAUUGCAAAACUAAUACCCAGGGAUUAUUUAGUUGCAAAUAUUUCCAAAUCCCUGCCAAAAAAUCCCCGAAAUCUCUUAAUCUCCUGUU
Long non-coding RNA from Poecilia latipinna (sailfin molly), 1059 nucleotides. RefSeq lists it as uncharacterized. The transcript is spliced from 3 exons. Lineage: Eukaryota; Metazoa; Chordata; Actinopteri; Cyprinodontiformes; Poeciliidae. The record is from RefSeq and is a predicted model, not a curated record.